Long non-coding RNA from Mastomys coucha (southern multimammate mouse), 721 nucleotides. RefSeq lists it as uncharacterized. The record is from RefSeq and is a predicted model, not a curated record. The transcript is spliced from 4 exons. Lineage: Eukaryota; Metazoa; Chordata; Mammalia; Rodentia; Muridae.
AAUUACUUCUCUCAUUGCUGUUAUCAAAUACCUGAGAAAAGCAAAUUAAUGAAGUGGAGAUUUAGAAAAUGUUCAGAAAAAAUGUCCUACCUGGCAGAGAAAGCAUUGCAGCAGGCACAUUCAUGACAUGACAUUGCAUCUUCAGUCGGGAAGGAGAGAGAGGUUCUCAUUGAACUAGAAGCCUAUUGUUGAAGAUAUGCUAUCUGAUGAGCAGGUUCCUGGUAUUUGUAUAUAUCUGUCACAGAUACUAAGAUUACUGGUGCCUGUAUUGUCAAGAAGAAAGCAUCAGAAACCCUGGAAAUUGAGAUACACAGGAAGUUGUGAGCAACCUGACCUGGAAACCAAACUCUGAUCCACUUCAAAAGCAGUAUACACUCUCAACCACUGACCCAUCUUUUCAGAUUAAAUUUGAAGUUUGCAGACUGACUUACCUGUGUUUCUGCCUGGAUGGAAGCCAAGGAACUAUACACCUAUGAGUGGAAAAGCUAUCCCAGUGGAAGUGCAUCCUGAGACGUGGGAGCUCGGGAAGCACACAGCUCUGAGGUGGGACAGUGUCCUAAGGGAAGGCCAUCCUGAGAUGUGGGAAUUCAGGAACUAUAUAGCUCUGAGAGCAAGCCUCUUCAGUAACUCUUAGGGGAGCUCUUGUUCAACAGUUCCUGUAGUAGUAAUUUACAAAGGCUGAGGCAGGAAAGGUGCACAGCUGAGGGGCAGCUAUUGUUGA